RNAcentral lists this ribosomal RNA (440 nucleotides) under uncultured bacterium. RNAcentral's name for it is "partial 16S ribosomal RNA". It matches the Rfam family "Bacterial small subunit ribosomal RNA", at positions 338 to 795 of the family's 1533-position model. The record is from RNAcentral.
CCUACGGGUGGCAGCAGUAGGGAAUAUUGCUCAAUGGGGGAAACCCUGAUGCAGCAACGCCGCGUGGAGGAUGAAGGUUUUCGGAUUGUAAACUCCUUUUGUUAGAGAAGAUAAUGACGGUAUCUAACGAAUAAGCACCGGCUAACUCCGUGCCAGCAGCCGCGGUAAUACGGAGGGUGCAAGCGUUACUCGGAAUCACUGGGCGUAAAGGGCGCGGAGGCGGGGUAGCAAGUCAGAUGUGAAAUACUAUGGCUUAACCAUAGAACUGCAUUUGAAACUGUUAUUCUAGAGUAUGGGAGAGGUAGGUGGAAUUCUUGGUGUAGGGGUAAAAUCCGUAGAGAUCAAGAGGAACACUCAUGGCGAAGGCGACCUGCUAUAACAUAACUGACGCUGAGGCGCGAAAGCGUGGGGAGCAAACAGGAUUAGAUACCCCUGUAGUC